This is a small nucleolar RNA of Lathyrus oleraceus (garden pea), 141 nucleotides long. RefSeq annotates it as small nucleolar RNA snoR134. NCBI's taxonomy places the organism in Eukaryota, Viridiplantae, Streptophyta, Magnoliopsida, Fabales, Fabaceae. The record is from RefSeq and is a predicted model, not a curated record. The transcript has a single exon.
UUGCACGAUGCAACCCCGGGCUUUUCUUAUUUAUUCAUGACGUUGAAGCCCCAUUGCUCGUGCUACAUCAAUGCUAUUCGUGUUGCAGAUCAUUCUCAGAAACUCUAUGUUUGAUUCUGUGUCAAAGUAAUAGCUACAUUG